Molecule: ribosomal RNA, 484 nt
Filed under: uncultured bacterium
Lineage: Bacteria
Description: partial 16S ribosomal RNA
Rfam family: Bacterial small subunit ribosomal RNA
Source: RNAcentral
AUUGAACGCUGGCGGCAUGCUUUACACAUGCAAGUCGAACGGCAGCGCGGGCUUCGGCCUGGCGGCGAGUGGCGAACGGGUGAGUAAUACAUCGGAACGUGCCCAGUAGUGGGGGAUACCUCGGCGAAAGCCGGAUUAAUACCGCAUACGACCUGAGGGUGAAAGCGGGGGAUCUUCGGACCUCGCGCUAUUGGAGCGGCCGAUGGCAGAUUAGCUAGUUGGUGGGGUAAAGGCCUACCAAGGCGACGAUCUGUAGCUGGUCUGAGAGGACGACCAGCCACACUGGGACUGAGACACGGCCCAGACUCCUACGGGAGGCAGCAGUGGGGAAUUUUGGACAAUGGGCGAAAGCCUGAUCCAGCAAUGCCGCGUGUGUGAUGAAGGCCUUCGGGUUGUAAAGCACUUUUGGCGGGAACGAAAAGGACUGUGCCAAUACCACGGUUCGAUGACGGUACCCGCAGAAUAAGCACCGGCUAACUACGUG